CCACUUUAAUAAUAGCAACACAGUCAAUGACAUUCGAUCCUUCAUUGAUGCAUCCAGGCCUGGGGGUGCUCGGAAUUAUCAGCUGCAGUUGAUGGGGUUCCCUCCGAAGCUUCUUACUGAGCCAACUCAGACAAUAGAGCAGGCAGGCCUUUCCAAUUCAGUUGUUAUUCAGAAAUUCUAGCAAAGCUGCAUGCAGGUCGCAUACUAUCUCUAGUCGUUACUGUGCUCUCUUGUAGUAGUAAACCAAUUUUAUGAACAUCAAGGCCUUGAAUAUCUGUUUCCUAAUAUACAAAAGGGAGGGUUUUGGUGGCUGGUUGCUUGGACGAUGGAGUUGAGUUUUGUGAUUCGAAAAUAUAUUCUUCUGCAGUCUUGUAAAUUGUAUGCUCUUGUUUUGCUACCUUGACAUGUUCUCAUUUCCCACUUCAUGCUGCUGAUAUCAUUUCCCCCGUACAAUUGUACAAACCACAAUAUCUCUCUCUCUCUCUCUCUCUCUCUCUCUCUGUUCUCUCCGCUCAUUCAAGCAUGGCUCAACUUGGUGAAGAGGAUUGAAGUAUAUGACUGACUAUUACAAUUACAACAAAAACUAAAGCCUGUGCCUGUUUUUUCGGUUGCUUUGUGAAUGCCCUCACGAUUUUUGUAAGUAUUUUUUAAAAAAAUAUAUAUUAAAAUAUUUUUUUAUUUUUUAAAAUUUUAUUUUUGAUAUUAAAACAUCAAAACAAUUCAAAAACAUUAAAAAUUAUUUUAAAAUAAAAAAAAUGAUGUGACAGCUAUAAUAAACAAGCUCUCAACAUGGAUUUGAGCAUUUUUAUUUUUUUAUUUUGAUUUUCCAUUCUUUUUUCUUCUUAGUUGACUUAUUUCAAGAUUGAAUUAAUAAACAAUUGCUUUUGAUUUGUUAGUAAUUGAUAAAAUUAAAAGUUAGGGGAAUGAAAAUAGGUGUUGAAAACAUGUGGUUAUUUUGAUUAAAAAAAACAAAAAGUUCAUUUUAGUCCAUGUACUUUUGAUGACAUAGCUCUUGCAUCCCUUUGGUUUAGGAAAAUUCAACUUUGGUCUUCAUUUAUCAAUCAUAAAACAAAGUUUAAAUUUCAAAUUCAUAUAUAAAACUAUAAAAAUAUUUUAUAAAUUAGAAAUUCAUACAUUGCAUUAAGAAAAAGGGAUUACAACUCUAAAACAAAGAUUGAUCCAACGGAAUCGAAUAACACUCCACUAAUCGUAAUUCAAUUCCCAUUCCUACUUUGGGAUUUCAACUGUGGUUUUUGGUGACUGAUAAAUCUGGAUGUAGCUGUGGGAGUUGAUGGAAAAGGUGUUUGAGAAUGAAUACUGUGUCAAAACGUUUUUAUGUUGAACAAAACGUAAAAACAGUGAAAGAUUUAUUUUAUAGCUUCUGGCUUUUAGUUUUAAAAAUGGCUUUCAAAGUAUUUUUCAUUUGGGAUUUUACCAAAUAAAUGUUCUAUUACAGCCAAAGGUCCUAAAAGCUCUUAAAAAUCCUAAAAUAUUUGUGUUACUAAGACAACAGGACGUCCAACGAAUAAUAUUGAGACCCUAUUUGCCAAUUUAUGGAUAUUUAUUUAUUUUUUAGGGCCUUUUUCUCCCCAAAAAAAAAAAAGUGCUUGUAAAGUUUUUAAAAUUAUUUUGAAAGCCCUUUAAAAAAUAAAAGUCAAAGGCUAUAAAAUGAGUUUUUUAGAUUUUAAAUCAAGCUAAGGUUAAAAGCCAUUACUAUACCAAACAUGCCCUCAAUUAUACAAAUCUUGCUGUAAAAAUCUAGGGUUAUUAAAAAAAAUUCAAAAAUUAAACUUUUGUGUUACAUCUUGUUAGUGUUGUGAAACAAAAGAGAUAAAUUUAUAAUUAAGAGAUAGAACUGUGUUUUUGAUUGAAUAGAAAUAUAAAAUAAAAUAAAUUUAUAACUUAGAAUAGUUUUGAAGGGAUUUUUUGUAUUCAAACAUGAAAUAUAGGGAGAUGUGCCUCCUAUUUCUCUAUUUUUUAUUUUGAGACAACAACCAAUAGCUAGCUUAUAGUUCUUCAACUGGUAUUAAUUUUUUCUCUUCAUAUUUAUUUGCAACCACUAUUUAACACCUUUAUUAAAUAAACAUCUUUUUAACCACCAUUGCAUAUCUUUAUGCCAAAAUGUUAAUGUUACGAGAGUUGGAUACUAAAUCUGAAGAGUGUUUUUUUAGUUAAGAGUUGCACAUCUUUUUUUAAGUCAAUUCUUUUGACAUGAGAAACACAUUUUCUAUCAAAUAUAUGGUAUUUUGGUGUUCCCCGAAGAUAGAGUUUCAUGUAUGACUUUCCAUCUUGAACAAAUUACCUACAAAAAACUUUUUGAAUCGAAGAUGUAUGUUAGAAGAUAAUGGUUUAAACUAUUAGUUUUGUAAAAUAAGACUAAAACUACAACUCAUGUUUUACUUCACUGUGAGAUGGUUUAGAAGUUAUGGUCUUGAGUGGUAGAUUGGUUAGGACAACAAUUAAUCUUACCUCAAACUCUAAAUGAUUUCUUCCUGAUACGAGAUGGCGUGGUAUGGGGAUCUAUGCAAACAAAGAUGCGGUGUUUGUUUUUCUUUGGUAUAGUUUAAUAUGUUUGGAAUGCUUAUAAUAAUCAUUGUUAAUGAGAAUGAAAUAAGCUAGGAUGAUGUUUAUUAUUCUCCUUUUUAUCUGGUUGUUAUCGGGGCAAAAUGAUAUGAUGGGAGUUUCUGUUAUACUAGGUAAAGUUUACUUUGUUGAUUAAAUUAUCAUUUUAUAUGGACUAACAAGACAAAUAUAAGAAGUAAUUCUUCUUGGUUACCUCCUUUUAUAGGUAUGAUGAAAUAGAGAUUGUGAAAGUGUCUUUAAAUAAUAAAUUAGAAUAUUUAGGAAUUGAUGGUGUUCUCAAAGAUUAGAAGGGAGAUCUCUUUGUAUUUUUUCUUGUUCCACAUGUAAUAUGAAAUCUAACAAUCUAACAAAGCCGAGGUCUUGGUAAUUCAAAAGGUUAUGCUUAUGAGUAAUAAUUGCAGCUAUAUUUCUACAAAUCAAUGAAUUAUAGAGUCAAAUUCUUACAAUGCCAUUAUCUGGAUUAAAAGGAAAAAUGUUUGGCAUUGGCACUUCCAAAUUGAAUUCAAUAAUAUUUCCAAUGCAUGCACUAAGCUUCAAAUAUUUGUGUGUUUUAAACAUGUUCUUAGAGAGAAGAAUCAUGUUGCAAAUCAUGCCAAGCAGGAAGUUCUUAGAGAAUAUAUUGUAGUUGUCUUGUUAUAACUUCUCUUAUACAGGAUUUAUUAUGCUUGAUUAUAUUUGUGGGUUUAGUUUUUUUUAUGUAGCAAGUUUUUUAUUACUCUUCUAGUUUUUUUUGUUUUUUUUUUUAAUAAUUGAGGAAUUUUAUUAAAUAAAGUUCUAGUGCCAUGAAAGUAAUGACAAACCAGCACGGGAGAUACCUACAAGACUAUUUACAAACUACUGUAAAAUAAGAACAAACCAAGUUGGGAGGAAGUUCAUCCUGUCGACUUAGUCACCAUACCUUAACCAGCUACCAUUCAACAGUUAAAAUUUACAACAAAACUCAUGAGUAUACCGGAAAAGGGUGACCAAUUGUGGGAAAUAAUCACGAAGUUCUUCUUUAAAGGAAAGUCUGCCUUGGCGAUCAAAUGAUGCUGACUGAAAGUGUCCUUACUUCAUGUCAAGUAACUUAAGUCAUAUGAAUUGAAGUUAUGAAUUCAAGCACACAAAUAUUGCAGUAGUUUCUGUAAGUAUUGACAAGUACACAUAGAUUCUUCAUACUUUGUUGGCUUUGGAACAAGAUAGACAGCUGAGUCUAAAAUGAGCACUAAUAUGCCGGUUUCUUUAGACAUUAAUUAGAAAGUCUUUGUUCAGGUGAAAACAGCGAUUAGGAUAUUCAUUCGGUGUAAAAGUGCAAUCCAUUCCAUUUACAACUAAAUAAUUAAUUAUUAAGCUCUUAGUUUUUCUAAUGGAUUUCAUUAAUAUCAUAGGUAAUGUUAUGACUCUUUGAUCAAAAUGUCAGAUUUCAUGAGCAUGAACAAGGUAUGUGUAAGAGUUUCUGGAGCUCACAAGCGUUCUUCUAUCUUUGUCAAAGAAACCCUAAACCCCCGUAUGAAGGUUUCUGAGUCGAUACAAGAAAGUUGCUGAACUUGUAUUCAUAUAAUCUCUUCCUUCCCUUAUGCAAAUAAAGGGUAAAUUCAUAAUGAGGUGGUCUAUUAGAGUCUCAUUGAUCUAUAUAUAACUCCAUGAAGCCUUGCACUUUCAUUGCAAGAGUCUCUCCAUCAUCAAUAGCUUUUUCAUUAGACUUUUAAGGAUGUUUCAUCAGAAUCAAAUUUCAGUCAUAACGUUACUGAAUCUUUUGUGGUAAUUCAUGCAAAAAUUAAGGAAACCGGAAUUUCCUCAUCUCUUCGCUAUAAACAUGCCAUAACCCCUACAUUUUCAUGAUGUAUUGCGAUAGCAGAAAGAAAAAAAAUGAUGAACUGAAUAAUAUUCUUCUUAUUCAACAUAACAUUUAAUUGUUCACUGUUACAUUGUUUAUAUAGGCUCAUGAAUAAAUAAAGAUUAAUUAACAAUAGUAACUGAUUUGUAGUUAUCAGUUACUGAAUCUUCUAACUGUCAUAACUAACUUCCAACUUCCUUAACAAACUCUCUAACUGCUGCAAUUGCGUGCCGAAGACGUCAACUAUGCAUUGCUGGAGAGUGCUUUUGUUGACGAUAAUUCCUCUGCUCUGCUGUAGCUGCAUGUAAGUUUAAUAUGAUGAUAGUUAAAUUAUUAUAUAGAUUCAUAUAGAGGUGGUAAUUAACAUAUCAAGUUUUGUAUGUUGUUUUACUCUCUCCCAACGUAAAAGUACUGCAAAAAUAUGCGAUGCUAGUUGCUGCAGUAACUUUUCAUGUGUUAUUUUAAUGCAUUAUGAGCUGCUAACAGCUCUGUGUUUUAUAGUCAGUAGGAGUUAUGGCUUUGCGAUUUCGAUUUCGAGAAGGUCUUUGCGUUCUUUUGGAUCAUUUUCUGGGUUUGGUCGCUGUGUGGUGAUUCUUCUAGUCUGACCAGUCAGUCAUUUCGAGCUUCUCAUGGUAAAGGAACUUGCUUUACUGGGAUUGAUUCGAGGGUUUUCUUUCAGGUUUUUAGCUUUUGUUGGAGUUUUGUUUACCUUUAUUGUAACAGAUUUGUAUGGACACGUUUCUGGGCAUUGCUUAUUUUCUGCAGAAUCUUCUAGCUAGCUUAAUCAAGGUACGUACUCAUUGAGCGUAAUUUUUCUUUCUUUCUUUCUUUCUUCUUGCACACCAAUUCUGAACUUGGAGGGUGUGGGUUAUUUAUGUGCAGCUUGUCGAACUCCAUUUGGAUUUACUUUGACUGAUAAAUGCCUUGUGUUUUGUUCUUGCAUUGGAAAUGAACUUAUGAGCUGAUGGUAAAUCACGUUUUAAUGCAGGGGUAUCUUCCCUUGCUUAUCAGAGGCUAAAAAAAAAAUGUUAGUCCUUAAAAUGUUCAUGUAUUUAAAAAGUCGUAGCCAUUAAUUCUAAAUUUUUAUGAUUGAAUAAGACAUCCACUCAUAUUAGCAUUAUUUAUUCCAUUCGGAUAAUAAAAUAAGACCGUAUACGUGUGUUUAAAGUACUAAUUAAAAUGGCAAAUGAGUUGUUAACCACACUAUCAUUAUUAAUAUCUGAUGGUCUGAGGCUGUCUUUCCUUUUCUACCUCAUCAAGUCUCCACAAAUCAAUCUAAAGCAAAAAACAAUGGCUUAUAGGGACAAGAAACCAGCAAAGCCCUCAAGCAGUGGAGCAGGCAGUAUCCGUACUCUCUCCGAUCUGGACCGGUGGACUGGACCUGAAUCUGAUAGCGAUGAUGAGGAUGCUCCUGAAUAGUACUCCACUGGUGGCGAGAAAGGGCAACAAACAACUACUCUCCCUUGAAACCUAACUUUAUAUUCAAAUUCAUUUCUUCUGCUUUUUCAAAGUUUUGAUUUUUAAUAUAAAGUUGCAGUCUUUUUUGGUGUGUCGCACAGUGUGAUAUUAGUAGUGCAGUGUUAGUGUUGUUGGCCUGUGGAAACAGUUCUGUCUGUUGGAUGGAUUUUAAUUUUCAUUUUGAUUCUGGUUAGAAGUAAUCUCUGAGCUCGCUGUAUUGAAAAUGCAUUUGGGGAGGUUCCAAGAGCAUCCGGAUAACAGCAUUAGUAGAGUCUGGAUGACGAUGGGAUUUAUCUAUAGAGCUCACUUUUUCCUACUUGAUUCUGGAGCUGUAGCAUAGCUAGAGAAGAAGCACCUUAUUCAGAGUCUCAAGACUAGGCCUGUAGACUGGGUGCUGACCAAAGAAAGCUUUGUGGUCUUGGAAUGUGUAUAGAUGAUGGUUCUUUUGUGCAUUUUUAGCAUUAUUUCGGCCUUGUUUUUAUCAGGUUGUGUCAUCAGUAAAUCCGUUAUAUUUUGUAUUCGAAGCAUUUGUAAUUUUCAACCUUUCAUAAUUCUAUGAAGAACAAAAUUUGAUAUUUGCAUAUUUUCAUAUUCUCAACUAUUUGUUAGUUCAAUUUUUUUGAGAUUUUGCUCUUUCAAUCCUGUAAUUGUGGCACCUGAUAUUAUCCAACUCUUUUGGUAAAUUCCCAUGAUUGCACAUAAAGCUUUAGUUGCUAUGCCAAUGUCUAUCAUUUACUUUUAUCUGACUCGAAUCCCUUGGUUAUUCCUUCCCAUGUAUGAAAUGUGUUUAUAUUUAAGUACUUCUCAUACUUCUAACACUAAUUUUUAUUGUUGCAGUGGUAUGCUCGUCCAAGAUCCUACAAAAGGUAAUGAUGUGGAUGCAAUUUUCAAUCAAGCUAGACAACUUGGAGCCGUUGAAGGUCCUCUGGAGAAUCUUAAUCAAUCUUCAAGUUGAAGAAGCUUUACUGGAACUGGUAGAUUACUCUCAGGGAGACUGUACCAUCUGCUCCUCAACAACCUGAGGCUGUUGUUCACAAUAUUGUUUUCUGGACUAAAGGUUUCACUGUAGACGAUGGCCCCUUGAGGAGGCUGGACGAUCCUGAAAAUGCAUCUUUCUUAGAGGUAAUAGCAACAUUGGUUGAAAAUGAAAUAAAAGUUUUUUUCAGAAGGUGGACUUAUGCUUUGGAGUUGGAGAUAUCUGUUUCCACCACUCUGCUGUGUUUGAAAAAAAUUCAAAGCAUGUGUUUAAUGAAGCCUUCUCAAUCAGUGUCUUUUCACUAUUUUUCUUGAAUCAACAGAUCUAGUUACAUAGGUAGUUCAUCCCUGGGAUUUUUUUUCUACAUACUCUUGAACCUUCACUUGUAGCAACAAAAACUAGUGCAGCUUUUGUUUUAUUUUGUUGUGCUUUGCUUUCACCCUCACCCUUAUGUCAUCAUCUGUAUUGUUUGUGGUGAUGUUAUGAUAUUGUUAUAUCUCAGAGCAUAAGGAAGUCUGAGUGUCCAAAGGAGCUUGAACCUGCUGAUAGAAGGUCUUCGGUUCAUGUCAAUUUGACUAGGAGGGAUCAAAACUGCCCUGUGAGAGUCUCUCUCUCUACCAGCUUUCUUUUCUUAGUAUUUACUAAGACUAACAAUUCUUUGUGGAACUUUAGAAAUUACCAUCCUGUUUGUCAAUCACCAAUUCAGUGUUCUAGUUGAUAGUUCUUGUCCAAAAAAUGCAUCAACAUGCUUUCACAUGUGUGCAUUUGAAAGACAUGAGUGUAAUCAUCAAUUCAACUUAGGUUGGCUGAUGGGACCCGCAUGGUGGCCCACUUCAAUAAUAGCCGCACAGUUAAUGACAUUGGAUCCUCCAUUGAUGCAUCCAGGCCUGGGGAUGCUCGGAAUUAUCAGCUGCAGUUGAUGGAAUUCCCUCCGAACUCCGAAGCUCCUUACUUAUCCAACUCAGAAAAUAGAGCAGGCAGACCUUUCCAGUUUAGUUGUUAUUCAGAAAUUGUAGCAAAGCUGCAUGAAGGCCGCACGCUAUCUCUAGUUGUUAUUGAGCU
Molecule: long non-coding RNA, 7895 nt
Filed under: Populus tremula
Lineage: Eukaryota; Viridiplantae; Streptophyta; Magnoliopsida; Malpighiales; Salicaceae
Description: long non-coding RNA (PTRE_LNC002081)
Source: RNAcentral